UCCUAGUCUGAUGAGUGCUCUUAUCAAAGA
This 30-nucleotide non-coding RNA is filed under the name Rattus norvegicus (Norway rat). Lineage: Eukaryota; Metazoa; Chordata; Mammalia; Rodentia; Muridae. The record is from RNAcentral.